CUCUACCUGAAGAGUCCUAAAUAGGACAAAAUGCACAUCCUGGAU
This 45-nucleotide non-coding RNA is filed under the name Trichobilharzia regenti. Lineage: Eukaryota; Metazoa; Platyhelminthes; Trematoda; Strigeidida; Schistosomatidae. The record is from RNAcentral.